Molecule: ribosomal RNA, 484 nt
Filed under: Fusarium chlamydosporum
Lineage: Eukaryota; Fungi; Ascomycota; Sordariomycetes; Hypocreales; Nectriaceae
Description: eukaryotic LSU rRNA
Rfam family: 5.8S ribosomal RNA (bases 146-299)
Source: RNAcentral
CCGAGUUUCACUCCCAAACCCCUGUGAACACCUAUACGUUGCCUCGGCGGAUCAGCCCGCGCCCCGUAAAACGGGACGGCCCGCCCGAGGACCCCUAAACUCUGUUUUUAGUGGAACUUCUGAGUAAAACAAACAAAUAAAUCAAAACUUUCAACAACGGAUCUCUUGGUUCUGGCAUCGAUGAAGAACGCAGCAAAAUGCGAUAAGUAAUGUGAAUUGCAGAAUUCAGUGAAUCAUCGAAUCUUUGAACGCACAUUGCGCCCGCCAGUAUUCUGGCGGGCAUGCCUGUUCGAGCGUCAUUUCAACCCUCAAGCUCAGCUUGGUGUUGGGACUCGCGGUAACCCGCGUUCCCCAAAUCGAUUGGCGGUCACGUCGAGCUUCCAUAGCGUAGUAAUCAUACACCUCGUUACUGGUAAUCGUCGCGGCCACGCCGUAAAACCCCAACUUCUGAAUGUGACCUCGGAUCAGGUAGGAAUACCCGCUG